UCCCUGGUGGCUCAGAGGUUAAAGCGUCUGCCUCCAAUGUGGGAAACCCAGGUUCGAUCCCUGGGUUGGGAA
This 72-nucleotide transfer RNA is filed under the name Ovis aries (sheep). It matches the Rfam family "tRNA". Rfam says of the family: Transfer RNA (tRNA) molecules are approximately 80 nucleotides in length. Lineage: Eukaryota; Metazoa; Chordata; Mammalia; Artiodactyla; Bovidae. The record is from Rfam by way of RNAcentral.